CGUGACCGCAAGAAUCGAUCAAUCGACGUUUCUUCCCUUUGUCGAAUGGCAUCUCGCAGGAUGGACAGGUUGAUCCACCUAACAUACCCGUGGACUCCACCAGUGCUCGAAUCUGGGCCAGAUCUGUGGAAUCUAGAACUCUAAAAUCAGCAACAAAUCGUGUAACCGGAAUGUAUCCUAUCCUAAACUGUAUCCUAUCUCCAUCAAAUCUAAAUUCUCACGUUAUCGUCUACGAUAUGAUUCUGGGAGUGAAACGUUUCCCCCAAGAAGACGCAGACGUUCCCUAAGAAGAACUGUAAUAACAGUAAAAACGCUUGUUAACCAUUUUCGUGCGUGGUUCGAGAAUAGGAGGAAGGGGAAGCGAAACGGGAAAAAACGGUACGUCGAAGAGGCCGCGACUUCCUUGUGAGACGCAGAUCGAUGUUCCACUUAACAACGAGUUCGCGAGUUUGACAGCCAGAGAGACCAUCUGUCACGAAGAAUCUGCACAGGGCAUACCGGUAUCUCGGUUAGUAGAGACACGUCGUGUGUCAGGGAAGCGGUGCGGUUCGUUCAUCGAUAAUGGAUAAACGAGCCGUGGCCGGGAAGGCGCCAUAUACUUAAAGGAUUCUAGAAAGUGAGGUCAAGAGAAGAAGACCUCCUCGCGUGCCCUCUCCUUCGUCUUUUUCAUUCUUGCUGCGUGUGUACACGAAGAACACGCGGAACCUGCUGGCGCUUCUAUUCCUGAUCCUCGAUCGAUUCCAUGUAGCAUUGGCUCGUGUGCCGUACCUCGUACCGUACGUCAUAUACCAUGAAAUUUAUGGCAGCGCCAGGUUAAUGGUUCCGAUGGAUCCUUUCCACGACAGGCAAAAUUAUGUUUAUGUUCGUAUCGAAGUUUGUUCUUCUCGAUCGGCUCGUUGGUACUCUUAGUGCAAGAGUUAUAGCGAGAUUGUAAGAUUGAUCGAGCGUUAAUGUUUUUGUACUUCAAGAAUUGAAACAGUAAUUCGGAAUAUAAGAAUUCGAUCUGAUUCGGGAGACUGUACAGCGUUAAUUUAAAAUUGUCUCUUUCUUCCUAGUAUGUAUAUUGAAACAAAAUUUUUGCUACUUUUUACAGCUACCGUAAAUCAAUCGGUGUGUCUUCCUAAUCCUUUGAUUCACAAUUUUAUUAUAUACUUACUAUCAGAAGUACCAAGAGGACCAUAAGGAUUUUAGAGGCGAUUCGACGUUCACGAAGAAGAGGUAGAAAACUCAGGAUGCGUUGAACGGGUCAAGCUAUGCAAAUUGUAGAUUAAUACGAUCAUGGUGAGCAGUUGAGGCAGUUAAUACGUGGGCGGUACCGUUGCGAUCACUCUAUGUAAUUGAACAGUUAGGGGCGAGAAUGCAGCGAAUCUAGGUCCAUUAAAUGGCACAAUGGUCUAUGUUCCGAGAAACAUGAAGAUUUUUUGCUUAACCUCUCGUCCUAUGACCUUUUAGCGCCUGAGCGAACUACGCUCGCUACAUAUUACAAGAACCUACUUGUUACUUGGAAAGAGUUAAUAGAGUUCUUUUGAGAAGUAUUGAAAAUGUCACGGUACCAAUAUUAAAAGAACAUAUUAUGGAGAAACAGCAACUGAUGGCUGUCUAUAGAUUCCAGCGCCCGUUAAAGUCUCUCCCAAGAGAACCAAACCUAUAAACGACGUUUCCCCAGUCAUGUUGGUGGUACGACGGUUCAUUCACAUAUACCGUAAUCCAGGACAACCUCUUGCCAAUCUAAAGGCAACCUCUGGCAGUUGACCGAGUAGCUCGAGUCGAAGCGUGAUUUCGCGGGUUACACAGAUGGAAUGACGCGGCGAACGUUGAAAGAAGGAAGUAAUUCGGGUCGCACGACCCUUUAUCCCGGUAAGUCCACGUCGAGGCAGGUGCAACACACCGCCUGGGUUACCGUAAGCUGGGUCAACGCACCCAGCAGAGACGCAGAAAGAGAGAGAGAGAGAAAGAGAAAGAGAAAGAGAGAGAGAGAGAGAGAGAGAGGAUCGCACAGUCGCUUCCACGGUAAACUCGUACAACGAUGUCGUUUUCUCCGGAGGCAUCACUGACUCACGCGUUUCCGCCGCGUGUAUAUCCAGUUUCCAUCCUCUCCGCAUCGGCAGUUCUCGCGAGAUUUAUAGACAGAAAGAGAGGAGUUCCGAGAGCCGAGGAGAAGUCGAAGGUCGAGGAAACGUCCAUAAGAUGUACACUUUUUCCUUUCUUCCAUCUGGCGAUUUCUUCUCCGUUUCUGGCUAUGUAUAUUUAAUUAAUGGUGAUCUAGUGUCUCGUUAAUUGCGCUGGCUGUCUUGGCGUACAAGUUAUACCCAUUAGAUUGGCGCAUAUUAAACUUCGUUUUAACACCACUUGGUUUAUUUGAAAUAUUAUACAUUUAAUCGAUAAUUUGCAGAUGAUUCAAUACACUUUCUCAAUAAUAUACCACGUUACGUUAUUUGAAAUUUAUAUAUAAACUGCGGAUAUUUACGCAUUUGUAUAUAGCUAACUCCAUAAAUUGAAAAGCAGGGAAAAUGACGUUACAAACGCUAAUUUUUUAUUUACCUUAAAAUUUACUACUAUUCCAUAUCAUGUUGUUUUGACAAAUAAACUGAUUUGAAAUCUGU
Molecule: long non-coding RNA, 2603 nt
Organism: Bombus impatiens (common eastern bumble bee)
Lineage: Eukaryota; Metazoa; Arthropoda; Insecta; Hymenoptera; Apidae
Exons: 2
Source: RefSeq, a predicted model, not a curated record